GCCUCGAUAUCUCAGUGGCAGAGCGGUGGGCCGUGGGGCGUUGACCCAUGCGGCCCAGGUUCGUGUCCCGGUCGAUGCA
This is a non-coding RNA of Phthorimaea operculella (potato tuberworm), 79 nucleotides long. NCBI's taxonomy places the organism in Eukaryota, Metazoa, Arthropoda, Insecta, Lepidoptera, Gelechiidae. The record is from the annotation of a GenBank genome assembly.